This 1091-nucleotide long non-coding RNA is filed under the name Medicago truncatula (barrel medic). Its description in RNAcentral is "long non-coding RNA (MTRU_LNC006522)". The record is from RNAcentral. Lineage: Eukaryota; Viridiplantae; Streptophyta; Magnoliopsida; Fabales; Fabaceae.
UCGCUUGAUCUUGUCAGCAAAAUCUACCGAAUUGGUACGCUGACUGUGUAAUUUUAAUAUUUUUUUAAUCCAUUUGAAUUUAAAAUUAUUUCCAUUAUUUUUUUGAAGGAGAAUUAUUUCCAUUAUUUAAAAUUCAAAAAAUUUAAUUUAAAAAAUAAUUAAAAAUCAACUUAAAAAAAACGUGUUCAUCAUAAUCUUCAAUCUCAUCCUAACUCUCAAAUUCAUCUCCUCUUCAUGCAUCAAAAUAGAAAGGGAUUAAACAUUAAUAAAAAUUGAUCAAAAUCAUCAUCUACUUGUUUAUUUUUCCACUUUUCAUCUUCUUCACGGCGUUCUUUUAAAAAAGAAAAAAAAAUAUUGUCUUCACUAUAUUCUUCUAGAAAUUAUCCAGAACACAACAAGCUUCAACUCAAACCCAAAAACAAAUUUCAGAAUUAUUUCACCACUACACAACAUCAACAACACUGAAAAACACAACAUCAACAAUUUGCCUAAUGGAGAAAUGAAUAUUUCUAGAUUUGAUGGAGCAAUUGAAGCCCAUAAUGAUUUAUCUUUCCAGAUAUGCUCUUCCUGAAUCUUUGUUUUGAACAACAAUGGCUGAAACUUCAGUUAACAACAAAAUCCAUUUCCGUGUUCCCAGAAAUGCAACCAUGAAUGGAUAGUGGAUUUAUCCGAGCUUCAGCGCGUCAUGGAAGAACUUUGGCGGUGGUUGAUGGUGGCACGACGGUGGUAUGGUCGGUUCCGAUUGGAACCUCGUGUGGGUUGAAGGGAGUUUGUUUGGAUUUGUUUUGAAUUGAUUUGUGAGUUUAUGUUUUCAUUUUCCACCAUUGUUGUAAUUUGUUGUUACUGGUCUAUCAUCUUUAAAUGAAUGGGUAGGAGUUGAUGUUAAUGUUGUGUUUGAAUCUUAAUAGAAGAAGAACCUGGAGAGAAGAAGAAGCAUGAUGGGAAGGUGGAAAAACCUUGAAUUUGAUUUUAAUUAGAUUUUUUGGUAAUUUUUUUGAUGAUUUAAUUUUAAAGAUUUUAGUUAAUAUUUAAUAUUGAAAUUAAAAUUUAUUUUAAUCUAAGUGGCAUCUAAUUCCUAUUAAAAAAAUAAA